AUUGAACGCUGGCGGCAGGCCUAACACAUGCAAGUCGAGCGGAGCGGCGGACGGGUGAGUAAUGCCUACGUAUCUACCUGGCCGUGGUGGAUAACGUCCGGUAACGGGCGCUAAUACCGCAUACUCUCACAUGAGCCUAGGUCGGAUUAGCUUGGUGGUGGGGUAAAGGCCUACCAAGGCGACGAACCGUAACUGGUCUGAGAGGAUGAUCAGUCACACUGGAACGGAGACACGGUCCAGACUCCUAGGGGAGGCAGCAGAGGGGAAUAUUGGCCAAUGGGGGAAAGCCUGAUGCAGCCAUGCCGGGUAUGUGAAGAAGGUCUUCGGAUUGUAAAGCACUUUAAGUUAGGAGGCGUUACCGACAGAAUAAGGAACGGCUAACUUCGUGCCAGCAGCCGCGGUAAUAC
This 407-nucleotide ribosomal RNA is filed under the name uncultured bacterium. RNAcentral's name for it is "partial 16S ribosomal RNA". It matches the Rfam family "Bacterial small subunit ribosomal RNA", at positions 30 to 526 of the family's 1533-position model. The record is from RNAcentral.